UGCCCCAUGGCUGAGUUGGUUACAGCGUCCGACUGUUAUAUCUUAACUACAUCGGAAGGUCGAGAGUUCGACCCUCUCUGGGGCAG
Molecule: non-coding RNA, 86 nt
Organism: Lentinula aff. lateritia
Lineage: Eukaryota; Fungi; Basidiomycota; Agaricomycetes; Agaricales; Omphalotaceae
Source: the annotation of a GenBank genome assembly